AUCAACCACUAGGGGUGUCUUGUGAAGACUGAGAUUAAAGUGACACUUUAAGACCCUUGGAACCUGAUCUGGUUCAUACCAGCGUAGGGAAGUGGUGGUCAUACUUA
This 107-nucleotide non-coding RNA is filed under the name Gracilibacillus halophilus. Its description in RNAcentral is "TPP sequence". It matches the Rfam family "TPP riboswitch aptamer (THI element)". Rfam says of the family: Vitamin B(1) in its active form thiamin pyrophosphate (TPP) is an essential coenzyme that is synthesised by coupling of pyrimidine and thiazole moieties in bacteria. The previously detected thiamin-regulatory element, thi box was extended, resulting in a new, highly conserved RNA secondary structure, the THI element, which is widely distributed in eubacteria and also occurs in some archaea. Analysis of operon structures identified a large number of new candidate thiamin-regulated genes, mostly transporters, in various prokaryotic organisms. RNAcentral also lists the same sequence under 1 other name. The record is from RNAcentral. Lineage: Bacteria; Bacillati; Bacillota; Bacilli; Caryophanales; Bacillaceae.